GGGUUGUGAGGUUAAGCGACUAAGCGUACACGGUGGAUGCCCUGGCAGUCAGAGGCGAUGAAGGACGUGCUAAUCUGCGAUAAGCGCCGGUAAGGUGAUAUGAACCGUUAUAACCGGCGAUUUCCGAAUGGGGAAACCCAGUGUGAUUCGUCACACUAUCAUUAACUGAAUCCAUAGGUUAAUGAGGCGAACCGGGGGAACUGAAACAUCUAAGUACCCCGAGGAAAAGAAAUCAACCGAGAUUCCCCCAGUAGCGGCGAGCGAACGGGGAGGAGCCCAGAGCCUGAAUCAGCAUGUGUGUUAGUGGAAGCGUCUGGAAAGGCGCGCGAUACAGGGUGACAGCCCCGUACACAAAAGCGCAUGUGCUGUGAGCUCGAUGAGUAGGGCGGGACACGUGGUAUCCUGUCUGAAUAUGGGGGGACCAUCCUCCAAGGCUAAAUACUCCUGACUGACCGAUAGUGAACCAGUACCGUGAGGGAAAGGCGAAAAGAACCCCGGCGAGGGGAGUGAAAAAGAACCUGAAACCGUGUACGUACAAGCAGUGGGAGCACAGGUUUACCUGUGUGACUGCGUACCUUUUGUAUAAUGGGUCAGCGACUUAUAUUCUGUAGCAAGGUUAACCGUAUAGGGGAGCCGCAGGGAAACCGAGUCUUAACCGGGCGUUAAGUUGCAGGGUAUAGACCCGAAACCCGGUGAUCUAGCCAUGGGCAGGUUGAAGGUUGGGUAACACUAACUGGAGGACCGAACCGACUAAUGUUGAAAAAUUAGCGGAUGACCUGUGGCUGGGGGUGAAAGGCCAAUCAAACCGGGAGAUAGCUGGUUCUCCCCGAAAGCUAUUUAGGUAGCGCCUCGUGAAUUCAUCUCCGGGGGUAGAGCACUGUUUCGGCUAGGGGGCCAUCCCGGCUUACCAACCCGAUGCAAACUGCGAAUACCGGAGAAUGUUAUCACGGGAGACACACGGCGGGUGCUAACGUCCGUCGUGAAGAGGGAAACAACCCAGACCGCCAGCUAAGGUCCCAAAGUCAUGGUUAAGUGGGAAACGAUGUGGGAAGGCCCAGACAGCCAGGAUGUUGGCUUAGAAGCAGCCAUCAUUUAAAGAAAGCGUAAUAGCUCACUGGUCGAGUCGGCCUGCGCGGAAGAUGUAACGGGGCUAAACCAUGCACCGAAGCUGCGGCAGCGAACGUAUCACUUAAAGCGAUUCA
This 1202-nucleotide ribosomal RNA is filed under the name Salmonella enterica subsp. enterica serovar Derby. RNAcentral describes it as "partial 23S ribosomal RNA". It matches the Rfam family "Bacterial large subunit ribosomal RNA", at positions 1 to 1223 of the family's 2925-position model. The record is from RNAcentral. Lineage: Bacteria; Pseudomonadati; Pseudomonadota; Gammaproteobacteria; Enterobacterales; Enterobacteriaceae.